AGUGAACGCUGGCGGCAGGCCUAAUACAUGCAAGUCGAACGGCAGCACAGCAGAGCUUGCUCUGUGGGUGGCGAGUGGCGGACGGGUGAGGAAUACAUGGGAAUCUGCCCAGUCGUGGGGGAUAACGUAGGGAAACUUACGCUAAUACCGCAUGCGCCCUUCGGGGGAAAGCCGGGGACCUUCGGGCCUGGCGCGAUUGGAUGAGUCGAUGUCGGAUUAGCUAGUUGGCGGGGUAAUGGCCCACCAAGGCGACGAUCCGUCGCUGGUCUGAGAGGAUGAUCAGCCACACUGGAACUGAGACACGGUCCAGACUCCUACGGGAGGCAGCAGUAGGGAAUAUUGGACAAUGGGCGCAAGCCUGAUCCAGCCAUGCCGCGUGAGUGAAGAAGGCCCUCGGGUUGUAAAGCUCUUUUGUCCGGAAAGAAAAGCAUCCAGUUAAUACCUGGGUGUCCUGACGGUACCGGAAGAAUAAGCACCGGCUAACUUCGUGCCAGCCGCCGCGGUAA
Molecule: ribosomal RNA, 506 nt
Filed under: uncultured bacterium
Lineage: Bacteria
Description: partial 16S ribosomal RNA
Rfam family: Bacterial small subunit ribosomal RNA
Source: RNAcentral